GACGAACGCUGGCGGCGUGCUUAACACAUGCAAGUCGAACGAAGUGGCGAACGGGUGAGUAACGCGUAAUCCACCUGCCCUUCAGAGGGGGACAACAGUUGGAAACGACUGCUCAUACCGCAUACUGAAGGAGGGGAUUGCGUCUGAUUAGCUAGUUGGGGGGGUAACGGCACACCAAGGCGAUGAUACGUAGCCGGUUCGAGAGAAUGAACGGCAACAUUGGGACUGAGACACGGCCCAGACUCCUACGGGAGGCAGCAGUGGGGAAUCUUCCGAAAGGGACGAAAGUCUGACGGAGCAACGCCGCGUGAGUGAUGACGGCCUUCGGGUUGUAAAGCUCUGUUAAUCGGGACGCGGUACCGGAAUAGAAAGCCACGGCUAACUACGUGCCAGCAGCCGCGGUAAUUC
RNAcentral lists this ribosomal RNA (408 nucleotides) under uncultured bacterium. Its description in RNAcentral is "partial 16S ribosomal RNA". It matches the Rfam family "Bacterial small subunit ribosomal RNA", at positions 28 to 526 of the family's 1533-position model. The record is from RNAcentral.